GGACGGGUGAGUAAAGCAUCGGAACGUAUCCUGGAGUGGGGGAUAACGUAGCGAAAGUUACGCUAAUACCGCAUAUUCUGUGAGCAGGAAAGCAGGGGAUCGCAAGACCUUGCGCUCUGGGAGCGGCCGAUGUCGGAUUAGCUAGUUGGUGGGGUAAAGGCCUACCAAGGCGACGAUCCGUAGCGGGUCUGAGAGGAUGAUCCGCCACACUGGGACUGAGACACGGCCCAGACUCCUACGGGGGGCAGCAGUGGGGAAUUUUGGACAAUGGGCGCAAGCCUGAUCCAGCCAUGCCGCGUGAGUGAAGAAGGCCUUCGGGUUGUAAAGCUCUUUCGGCGGGGAAGAAAUUGCACGGGUUAAUACCCUGUGUAGAUGACGGUACCCGAAUAAGAAGCACCGGCUAACUACGUGCCAGCAGCCGCGGUAAUACGUAGGGUGCGAGCGUUAAUCGGAAUUACUGGGCGUAAAGCGUGCGCAGGCGGUUUGGUAAGUCAGAUGUGAAAUCCCCGGGCUCAACCUGGGAACUGCAUUUGAGACUGCCAGGCUGGAGUUUGGCAGAGGGGGGUGGAAUUCCACGUGUAGCAGUGAAAUGCGUAGAGAUGUGGAGGAACACCGAUGGCGAAGGCAGCCCCCUGGGCCAAUACUGACGCUCAUGCACGAAAGCGUAGGGAGCAAACAGGAUUAGAUACCCUGGUAGUCCACGCCCUAAACGAUGUCAACUAGGUGUUGGGAGGGUUAAACCUUUUAGUGCCGUAGCUAACGCGUGAAGUUGACCGCCUGGGGAGUACGGCCGCAAGGCUAAAACUCAAAGGAAUUGACGGGGACCCGCACAAGCGGUGGAUGGUGUGGAUUAAUUCGAUGCAACGCGAAAAACCUUACCUACCC
This 885-nucleotide ribosomal RNA is filed under the name uncultured bacterium. RNAcentral describes it as "bacterial SSU rRNA". It matches the Rfam family "Bacterial small subunit ribosomal RNA", at positions 100 to 980 of the family's 1533-position model. The record is from RNAcentral.